Molecule: ribosomal RNA, 967 nt
Filed under: uncultured bacterium
Lineage: Bacteria
Description: bacterial SSU rRNA
Rfam family: Bacterial small subunit ribosomal RNA
Source: RNAcentral
AGAGUUUGAUCCGGGCUCAGAUUGAACGCUGGCGGCAGGCUUAACACAUGCAAGUCGAGCGGCAGCGGAAAGAAGCUUGCUUCUUUGCCGGCGAGCGGCGGACGGGUGAGUAAUGUCUGGGGAUCUGCCCGAUGGAGGGGGAUAACUACUGGAAACGGUAGCUAAUACCGCAUAAUGUCGCAAGACCAAAGUGGGGGACCUUCGGGCCUCACACCAUCGGAUGAACCCAGAUGGGAUUAGCUAGUAGGUGGGGUAAUGGCUCACCUAGGCGACGAUCCCUAGCUGGUCUGAGAGGAUGACCAGCCACACUGGAACUGAGACACGGUCCAGACUCCUACGGGAGGCAGCAGUGGGGAAUAUUGCACAAUAGGGGAAACCCUGAUGCAGCCAUGCCGCGUGUGUGAAGAAGGCCUUCGGGUUGUAAAGCACUUUCAGCGGGGAGGAAGGCAAUGGCGUUAAUAGUGUCAUUGAUUGACGUUACCCGCAGAAGAAGCACCGGCUAACUCCGUGCCAGCAGCCGCGGUAAUACGGAGGGUGCGAGCGUUAAUCGGAAUUACUGGGCGUAAAGCGUACGCAGGCGGUCUGUUAAGUCAGAUGUGAAAUCCCCGGGCUUAACCUGGGAACUGCAUUUGAAACUGGCAGGCUAGAGUCUCGUAGAGGGGGGUAGAAUUCCAGGUGUAGCGGUGAAAUGCGUAGAGAUCUGGAGGAAUACCGGUGGCGAAGGCGGCCCCCUGGACGAAGACUGACGCUCAGGUACGAAAGCGUGGGGAGCAAACAGGAUUAGAUACCCUGGUAGUCCACGCUGUAAACGAUGUCGAUUUGAAGGUUGUGGUCUUGAGCCGUGGCUUUCGGAGCUAACGCGUUAAAUCGACCGCCUGGGGAGUACGGCCGCAAGGUUAAAACUCAAAUGAAUUGACGGGGGCCCGCACAAGCGGUGGAGCAUGUGGUUUAAUUCGAUGCACGCGAG